RNAcentral lists this long non-coding RNA (523 nucleotides) under Capra hircus (goat). Its description in RNAcentral is "lncRNA (ENSCHIG00000003678.1)". The record is from RNAcentral. Lineage: Eukaryota; Metazoa; Chordata; Mammalia; Artiodactyla; Bovidae.
AAGUGCACCCUAGGGUCAGCUGUUUGGCUCCUCUCUUCUGCUUGCACGAGUGACGACUGUUCCAGUGAUGUAAGCGAGCCCGAUGCCGGGAGGGCCUCUUUUGUAAGCCACCUCUAGGAAUCUGGAUCAAAGAAUACGGCGGCCAUCGUCCUGCGGAGCAAAUUAGUGGCUGCUUCCUUCCUUCUAAUGGUACUUUGGUGGUGAAAGUGAAAGAAAGUGAAGUCGCUCAGUCGUGUCCAACUCUUUGCGACCCCAUGGACUGUAGCCCACCAAACUCCUCAUUCCAUGGAAUUCUCCAGGCAAGAAUACUGAAGUGGGUUGUCAUUUCCUUCUCCAGGGGAUCUUCCCGACCCAGGAAUCAAACCCAGGUCUCCUGCAUUGUAGGCAGAUUCUUUACCAACUGAGCUAUCUGGUGGUGGGUUCUGCCAAAUCAGUUACUGUAGGCUUUCCAUCUUUUGAAUUAUUGCUCACAUCUCCUUCCUUCUAAGAGUUUUGCUUUUUCUAAGGGUUUUGUGGCAUGGGG